This 253-nucleotide ribosomal RNA is filed under the name uncultured bacterium. Its description in RNAcentral is "partial 16S ribosomal RNA". It matches the Rfam family "Bacterial small subunit ribosomal RNA", at positions 524 to 776 of the family's 1533-position model. The record is from RNAcentral.
UACGUAGGGGGCAAGCGUUGUCCGGAAUCAUUGGGCGUAAAGAGCGUGUAGGCGGUCCGAUAAGUCCGCUCUGAAAGCCCGGGGCUCAACCCCGGGAGGCGGGCGGAUACUGUCGGGCUAGAGUCCGGAAGAGGCAAGUGGAAUUCCUGGUGUAGCGGUGAAAUGCGCAGAUAUCGAGAGGAACACCUGCGGCGAAGGCGGGUUGCUGGGCUGACACUGACGCUGAUGCGCGAAAGCCAGGGGAGCGAACGGG